Molecule: long non-coding RNA, 2614 nt
Organism: Ursus thibetanus thibetanus
Lineage: Eukaryota; Metazoa; Chordata; Mammalia; Carnivora; Ursidae
Source: Ensembl
AUGGACAAAGGUCUAGCUGAACCCAUGAACAUGUAUGACCACCGUUCAGCUUACUCCUGCUGUAUACAUUCUUGUCACUCCAUUACCACCUUCAGUCAUGAUAGGAUCGAUUCUGAUGGAAUUGCAGUUUUCAAGUGCUCUGAAGAACUUGGCACUUUCACACAGGUAAAUCCACCAUUUUUGUUCAGCAGUAAUUCAUAAGAGAACCUAAAAAAAUAAAAAGAAAAUCUUUUUUAUAUAAAAGAAUGAUAGGUAUAAUACAUGUUUAAAAUUGUCCUGCAACUGAACAAUAUCACUUAUACUCCAGUAGACAAUCCAUACAUGUUUUUUACAAAUCUAGCAAUUUUUCACCAUGUCAUUGUUUCCUUGUAAACUGUCACCCUCUUCUGUACCCUGUGUUUGGGGUUUUGUUUGUUUUUUAUCUUUAAGAACAGUUUUGAUUUAUACAUAUUUCAAUAUUCAUGGAAACUUUUAACUUUCGAUAAUGGGAUUUUAGAAAUUAUUUUCCUUUCUUUUUUCCAUUGUAGUAAAUCGUCUUUUUUUUUUUUUUUUUUUUGGUCAUCAUUGAUGAAUGGCUCCAAAUAGUUGCUGGUUGCUCUGAAAAUGAUAAAUAAAGAACUGUUGCUAAAUCUUGAUUUCUCAGCAUUCUUCCCUUAGGCAGAUGUUGGCUCUCCUGCUCUUCAUAUCAUAUACUGAUUUAAAGAAGAAAUGCUUCUGAUAAUUUUAAAUAGCUGUGUAUGUUUUCUGACUUUCCCACCACUUUCUCUUAUUAAUUCUUAAGUAUUAAAUAUUUACUCAUGCUAUAAAUAGUUUUAGUGUGCCUACUAUAUUCCUCUCACCAAGGCACUAAUUUCUGGUCAUACAAAGUUGAUGAAAAUAGAGCUGUUGCCCUUAAGAAACUCAUAGUCUAGCAAAAAAGGAAGAAGAGCAAAGAACCAUUGCUAAACCCACAAAAUACCAUGGUAAAGGAAUGCACUGGAGAUUCAACAGAGUCUGCAAAUUUUCCUUGUGGACAAAAGAGAGCAGACAGGGAUCAUCUUCUCCAAAAAAGGCCAAGUAAAGACCUUUACUGUCAUACUAAGGACUUUGGAAUUUAUUCUGUAAACAAGGGUUAGAUAAUGACAAGAACAAACAUGCAUUUAGAAUUUUUUUCAUAACCAAAUGUUAAAGUCUAUGACCUUUAUCUUCAAUUUUGUGAAAAUUUUCAACAUAUUGUUUAUAAAAUUGUCUAUCUAUCCAUGCAUGCAUAUAUGUGUAUAAAGUGCUCUCCCUUCCCCAGACCUUUCCAUCUGAAUGAGUUUGCCUCCCUACAUAUCUUUUCUUAGUUUUUAGAAUAAAUCCUCAGAAAUAUUUUCUUAUGAAAGAAUUCUUUAUUUGUUAUUUAUGACCUUCUUUGAAACAGAUAUAUGGUCUAUUUUUAAACAAUAUUUAUAUCUGAAAAGGAUACAGGUUUAGAUAACACUACAAAUAAUAAUAAAAUAAUAAUUGAUAUCUUCUCAUUUUCUAGCACUCUACUAAUUAUAGAUAUUUUCUCAUUUUGUUCUGUAAUAAUCUUACAAGGUAGGUGCUAUGAUUAUCUCUAUUUUACAAAUGAGCACACAGAAACACAGAGAUUAAGUUGCUGGGCACGGGUCCCAUGGCUGGGAGAUGGAGCCUCAAGGAUUCUAUUGUAGAUACCAAGAUUUUAGAGUGUAUAAACUAGUUCAAAUAAGAGAACCCUCCCCCGAAUUAUGGUAUGAGUAGCUGCUUAAUAGAUGUUGUCUUAUAUUCUGAUCAUUUCUAAGCAGAUCAUAUUUAUUAUUUUGUUAUUAGUAUCAUUUUUUUAUUUAGCUGUGCAAUCCUGAAAAUUUCGAAACAUCUCAUUUUACUCUAAUAGCUGAUGCUAAAGUGUGCCCUCCUUUUAUUUAUUGCAAUAUAAUUUGAAUUUAUUAAAAUUCACAAAUCUUAGUGUAUAGCUUGAUGAAUUUUUACAUAUGUGUACACAUAUUAACUCCACCUAGAUCAAAAUAUACCUUUUCUCCCCAGUAGCUUCCCCCUAAUGCUUUCUAGUGAUUAACUAACCACGCACCCAGAGGUAACCACCAUCUUAAACUCCGUCACCGUAAAUUAGUUUUGUUCCCUUUCUGAAUUUCAUAUAAACACAAUCAUACAGUAGUACAUUCUUGAGUCCUGUCUCUUUCACUCAGUGUAGUGUUUUUGCGAUUUAUCCAUGUAGUUAUAUGGAGGAGUAAUUUUCUUUUUUUCUCUGCUGUAUAGUAUCCUGUUGUCUGAAAGCAUCACAACUUUUAAUCAGUUAUACUAUGGGUGGAUGUUUGAAUUGUUUUCACUUUGGGGCUAUCAUGAAUAAAUCUUUUUUGUGUUUCCCUUGUUUCCCUUGGCCAUGUAACACAAAGAGUAAAAUUGCUAGAACAUAGAAAAGGUGUAUGUUUAAUCUUAUUAGUUAUAUGCAAAGGGUUGUUCAGAGCAAUUUACUACUUUACUUACACUCCUACCAGUUACGUGUGAGAACUGUUGUUCUUUAUGUCUCUAGUACAUAUAAAUCUUUCUAUUUUUAGUUUUUCUGAUAUUUUAUUUUGGUUUUAACUUUGUUUUACUGAGCUAUCACUGGAUCAUG